This 301-nucleotide ribosomal RNA is filed under the name uncultured bacterium. RNAcentral describes it as "partial 16S ribosomal RNA". It matches the Rfam family "Bacterial small subunit ribosomal RNA", at positions 509 to 807 of the family's 1533-position model. The record is from RNAcentral.
CAGCAGCCGCGGGAAUACGUAGGGUGCAAGCGUUAAUCGGAAUUACUGGGCGUAAAGCGUGCGCAGGCGGUUUGUUAAGACAGAUGUGAAAUCUCCGGGCUCAACCUGGGAACUGCAUUUGUGACUGGCAAGCUAGAGUGUGGCAGAGGGGGGUGGAAUUCCGCGUGUAGCAGUGAAAUGCGUAGAUAUGCGGAGGAACACCGAUGGCGAAGGCAGCCCCCUGGGACAACACUGACGCUGAGGCACGAAAGCGUGGGGAGCAAACAGGAUUAGAUACCCCUGUAGUCCCUGUCUCUUAUAC